This 460-nucleotide ribosomal RNA is filed under the name uncultured bacterium. RNAcentral describes it as "partial 16S ribosomal RNA". It matches the Rfam family "Bacterial small subunit ribosomal RNA", at positions 338 to 795 of the family's 1533-position model. The record is from RNAcentral.
CCUACGGGUGGCAGCAGUGAGGAAUAUUGGUCAAUGGGCGGAAGCCUGAACCAGCCAAGUCGCGUGAGGGAAUAAGGCCCUACGGGUCGUCAACCUCUUUUGCCGGGGAGCAAGGGCGGGGACGUGUCCCGGCCCGGAGAGUACCCGGAGAAAAAGCAUCGGCUAACUCCGUGCCAGCAGCCGCGGUAAUACGGAGGAUGCGAGCGUUAUCCGGAUUUAUUGGGUUUAAAGGGUGCGUAGGUGGGCUUUUAAGUCAGCGGUAAAAAUUCGGGGCUCAACCCCGUCCGGCCGUUGAAACUGGGGGCCUUGAGUGGGCGAGAAGAAGGCGGAAUUCCGUGUGUAGCGGUGAAAUGCGUAGAUAUACGGAGGAACACCAGUGGCGAAGGCGGCCUGCUGGACAUUAACUGACGCUGAGGCGCGAAAGCGUGGGGAGCAAACAGGAUUAGAUACCCUAGUAGUC